Molecule: ribosomal RNA, 497 nt
Filed under: uncultured bacterium
Lineage: Bacteria
Description: partial 16S ribosomal RNA
Rfam family: Bacterial small subunit ribosomal RNA
Source: RNAcentral
GAUGAACGCUGGCGGCGUGCCUAAUACAUGCCAGUCGAGCGAACAGAUAAGGAGCUUGCUCCUUUGACGUUAGCGGCGGACGGGUGAGUAACACGUGGGUAACCUACCUAUAAGACUGGGAUAACUUCGGGAAACCGGAGCUAAUACCGGAUAACAUUUGGAACCGCAUGGUUCUAAAGUGAAAGAUGGUUUUGCUAUCACUUAUAGAUGGACCCGCGCCGUAUUAGCUAGUUGGUAAGGUAACGGCUUACCAAGGCAACGAUACGUAGCCGACCUGAGAGGGUGAUCGGCCACACUGGAACUGAGACACGGUCCAGACUCCUACGGGAGGCAGCAGUAGGGAAUCUUCCGCAAUGGGCGAAAGCCUGACGGAGCAACGCCGCGUGAGUGAUGAAGGGUUUCGGCUAGUAAAACUCUGUUAUUAGGGAAGAACAAACGUGUAAGUAACUGUGCACGUCUUGACGGUACCUAAUCAGAAAGCCACGGCUAACUACGUG